This is a non-coding RNA of Aedes aegypti (yellow fever mosquito), 46 nucleotides long. The record is from Rfam. NCBI's taxonomy places the organism in Eukaryota, Metazoa, Arthropoda, Insecta, Diptera, Culicidae.
UAAACGGCCCUUUUCAGGGUCACAAAAUCAAUGAAAAAGAGUUAUU